Molecule: long non-coding RNA, 437 nt
Filed under: Malus domestica (apple)
Lineage: Eukaryota; Viridiplantae; Streptophyta; Magnoliopsida; Rosales; Rosaceae
Description: long non-coding RNA (MDOM_LNC004493)
Source: RNAcentral
UCCACUGCUCAAGGUGACGCAUUCCUUUCAAGCUCUUCCAACCCAAAUGGAAAACAACACUUGUCUCGACAAGUUCUAGAGCUGACGAGCGUCUUCGUACAACAGAUAACCUUGGUGAACCAGCUUUUGCAGUGCACCGAGAUGCAACGUGCCCCAGACAAGGUGUCCCAGAGUAGGACAAGGGCAGACGAAGAACUUCUCCAGCAGCAUCCCGAGUUUUUGGGCAAUGUACACUCUCGAUUGGGCCCCCGAGAUAGCGUAUACUCCAGUCUUAGUGCGUAGAGAAGCGUGCACUCUCGACUAGGCACACGGAUGAGCAUACUAUAGACAUCGAAAUUUGAAUAUUCGUGUUUACGCAUACAUUCACGGUUGGGGUCGCACCCCGAAAGUCAAAUGAGCAACCUUCUAGGCGAAGUGUUCAUUCGUGGCUAAGCCCG